AGCAGCCGCGGUAAUUCCAGCUCCAAUAGCGUAUAUUAAAGUUGUUGCAGUUAAAAAGCUCGUAGUUGAAUUUCGGGAUCAAUACGCCUGUCGUGCCUCGGUACGUACUGGCAUCGUUGGUUUCUCCCUUCUGACGAACCAUGAUGUCAUUAAUUUGGUGUCAUGGGGAAUCAGGACUGUUACUUUGAAAAAAUUAGAGUGUUUAAAGCAGGCUCACGCUUGAAUACAUUAGCAUGGAAUAAUGAAAUAGGACGUUUGAUUCUAUUUUGUUGGUUUCUAGGAUCGACGUAAUGAUUAAUAGGGAUAGUUGGGGGCAUUAGUAUUCAAUUGUCAGAGGUGAAAUUCUUGGAUUUAUUGAAGACUAACUACUGCGAAAGCAUUUGCCAAGGAUGUUUUCAUUAAUCAAGAACGAAAGUUAGGGGAUCGAAGACGAUCAGAUACCGUCGUAGU
Molecule: ribosomal RNA, 450 nt
Filed under: uncultured Glomeromycotina
Lineage: Eukaryota; Fungi; Glomeromycota
Description: SSU rRNA
Rfam family: Eukaryotic small subunit ribosomal RNA
Source: RNAcentral